This 1549-nucleotide long non-coding RNA is filed under the name Capsicum annuum. RNAcentral describes it as "long non-coding RNA (CANN_LNC019185)". The record is from RNAcentral. Lineage: Eukaryota; Viridiplantae; Streptophyta; Magnoliopsida; Solanales; Solanaceae.
AAAUAUAAAUUAUCUGAUUAAAUAAUCUAAGUCAAUCUAAUAUUUUUAUAUAAAUAUUAAUGGCCUAAAUUUUUCUAAACGCGUGGUGAAGAUUGAGUAAAUAAAGAAUAUCCCGCCCAACACCCCAAAAUUAAAAUUUUACUAUAAUUAACAUUUAUACAAGAGUAAAAAUAUAAAAAAUAUAAAAAAUAUAAACACAUAAUUUAAAGUCUUCUUUGAAUGUCAUUCCCGAUAAGUAUUCUCGAUAACCUGUAUAAACACAAGUGAUAAAAAUGUUAGUAACAAAUAAAUAAUAAUUAAAAUAAAUUGAAAAAGUACGUAUGCAUAUACGUAUUUUAAAAUAUAAUUUUUGUUACACAGUGAGCUCAGAUAAAGUUUUGAAAUGUUAUAAAGAUUUCAUCAUUGCCCAAAAAUAUUUAUUUUUUUUGUUACUUAUUUGUAUACAUAAAAUCCAUCUUUUAUUUAUGAAGGCCUCAAAUAUACGAUGGAAAGAUAAUGUCAUUGGCUAAGUGUAGGCCUUUAAUAUAAAAUAAUAAUUUUAAUAAAAUAAAGUCCGUCUUUUUAAUGGGGUGGCCUCAAAUAUCCAGCGAAAAGAUAAUUUCAUUAGCCAAUUAUAGACCUUUAAUAUACAAUAAUAAUUUUAAUAAAAUAAAGUCCAUCUUUUGUAUUGGGGUGGCCUCAAAUAUUCGAUGGGAGAUAAUUUCAUUGGCCAUGUGUCGAUCUUUAUUCAUUACCAGUGUAGUAAAUUACAAAGUAAAGAAGGGACAAAAUAUCCAAAGCAGCCUAAAAGAAUCAGCUAAAUAAAAUAACUUUGGACGUAAAUUUUGAGUAAAAAAUAAUUCUAAAUUAGCCAAACAGUCCAAAUUCAACCCGUCAAUCAUGAAAUAAGAAAAAUAACUAAUACACAAUAAAGCCAAUAGACAAGAACCAAAAAUAAAGCGCAACAGAUCAAAACUUCUAGAGUCAGCCACAAAAUAAAGUUUACAUCGGGUAUUAAAUCAUUUCAAAUAGAUAUGUACAAAAUUAACACAAAAACAGCGAAACCCAGUCCACCAAAGGCAAAAAUUUAAAGUAAUAAUAAAAUAUCAGCGUUGCUUCAAUGGCGUUCGUCGGAGCAACGCUAAAAAUAUAAUAAACGGCCAGAUAUAGCCCUAUUUUUUGGUGGGCAGUGGGACAAGAAAAGGGAGCUCGCCCGCCUGUGACCAAAUUCGGCGAGGUGNNNNNNNNNNNNNNNNNNNNNNNAAGAGGGGAAAGGGGGCGACACCAGCAGUGGUGGCUUCUACUGGACUCGCCGGCAUUCACCUCCGACAAGCUAGUAGUGAAAUGGAGGAGCAGCGGCGACAGUGCUUUGGUGGUUGGGAGCCCGCCGGUGGAAUGUUUUACCAAUCACAUCGACUGGAUUUGUGGAGGUUGCAGGCUGGUGAGGGGUUGGUUUUUUGUUGGUGGUGUAGAAGAGAAAGGUAGCAGCCAUGGUUGUUUCCAUGGAGAGGAGGAGAGAGUGGAGGAAGAUUAGAGAGAGAAAGUGAGAGCGGAGAGAAGAUUAUGCGUG